This is a non-coding RNA of Danio rerio (zebrafish), 774 nucleotides long. Lineage: Eukaryota; Metazoa; Chordata; Actinopteri; Cypriniformes; Danionidae. The record is from RefSeq and is a predicted model, not a curated record.
CACGAACAGCUAUCACGAGCAGUCUGCAGACGGUAGCCGAUGCGCAAAUGACGCACAGAGAGCCUCUCACACGCGCUCUGUAUUUUGAUUGUGGAAGGGGUAAAUGGUAAUUGCAGGGAAAGUUUUGAAACGGUCCUAAACAAUUUAAGCUGUUUUGAGAAGAUUGCAGAUGAGUAUCUACAGAUCUGUAUUUAGAUUGCAGUUAACAAGAACAGGAACCAAAACCAGAUCGUGGUGGAGAGUUUUGCCUGGGAGAUAGAAGCCAGCAGAAUUAUGACCUCAAUCAACUCCACAGUAUGCACCUGCAGGGGCGGAUAAACAGAAAGACCUAUUGGUACCUCUCUACCAUCAGAGCACAUCCAGACACACAGACUGUCCCAGACACACACACACAAAGUGCAGAAGUGAAGUGGGCACCCCAGACUGUUAUAUUCAGCCCAUUGAAAGCUGCCUGGAGUAUUACACAUCCAAAAGCAGGGAUCACGGAGAAAGGAAACAAAAAAAAAAAAAGACUGCUAAAGAAAGAAAGAAAAACGAACAAAGAAAGAAAGAAAGAAAGAGGAGUUUUAAGUAAAUAAUAUUAAUUGUGCCUUUGCUUCAUGUUUUUAUGUGCAAAAAUGAGUAAUUGUGUUUGAGUGUAAGUGUGUGCAUACAAAUAUACAUGUGAUGAGUCUGAUCGGUAAGAAUGAAUGGUAUUGCUGAUUGUUUAGGGAGGCCCAGAGCGAUAGCCAAUAAUAAUCCUGCAUUUGAAUAAACAGCUUUUUUCCCUCCCUG